AGCGAACGCUGGCGGCAGGCUUAACACAUGCGAGUCGAGCGGGCCCUUCGGGGUCAGCGGCGGACGGGUGAGUAACGCGUGGGAACGUGCCUUCUGGUUCGGAAUAACUCAGGGAAACUUGAGCUAAUACCGGAUACGCCCUUUUGGGGAAAGGUUUACUGCCGGAAGAUCGGCCCGCGUCUGAUUAGCUAGUUGGUGGGGUAACGGCCUACCAAGGCGACGAUCAGUAGCUGGUCUGAGAGGAUGAUCAGCCACACUGGGACUGAGACACGGCCCAGACUCCUACGGGAGGCAGCAGUGGGGAAUAUUGGACAAUGGGCGCAAGCCUGAUCCAGCCAUGCCGCGUGAGUGAUGAAGGCCUUAGGGUUGUAAAGCUCUUUUAUCCGGGACGAUAAUGACGGUACCGGAGGAAUAAGCCCCGGCUAACUUCGUG
This 433-nucleotide ribosomal RNA is filed under the name uncultured bacterium. RNAcentral's name for it is "partial 16S ribosomal RNA". It matches the Rfam family "Bacterial small subunit ribosomal RNA", at positions 29 to 507 of the family's 1533-position model. The record is from RNAcentral.